RNAcentral lists this ribosomal RNA (497 nucleotides) under uncultured bacterium. RNAcentral describes it as "partial 16S ribosomal RNA". It matches the Rfam family "Bacterial small subunit ribosomal RNA", at positions 28 to 507 of the family's 1533-position model. The record is from RNAcentral.
GACGAACGCUGGCGGCGUGCCUAAUACAUGCAAGUUGAGCGCUGAAGGUUGGUACUUGUACCAACUGGAUGAGCAGCGAACGGGUGAGUAACGCGUGGGGAAUCUGCCUUUGAGCGGGGGACAACAUUUGGAAACGAAUGCUAAUACCGCAUAAAAACUUUAAACACAAGUUUUAAGUUUGAAAGAUGCAAUUGCAUCACUCAAAGAUGAUCCCGCGUUGUAUUAGCUAGUUGGUGAGGUAAAGGCUCACCAAGGCGAUGAUACAUAGCCGACCUGAGAGGGUGAUCGGCCACAUUGGGACUGAGACACUGCCCAAACUCCUACGGGAGGCAGCAGUAGGGAAUCUUCGGCAAUGGACGAAAGUCUGACCGAGCAACGCCGCGUGAGUGAAGAAGGGUUUCGGAUCGUAAAACUCUGUUGGUAGAGAAGAACGUUGGUGAGAGUGGAAAGCUCAUCAAGUGACGGUAACUACCCAGAAAGGGACGGCUAACUACGUG